This 492-nucleotide ribosomal RNA is filed under the name uncultured bacterium. RNAcentral describes it as "partial 16S ribosomal RNA". It matches the Rfam family "Bacterial small subunit ribosomal RNA", at positions 29 to 507 of the family's 1533-position model. The record is from RNAcentral.
AGUGAACGCUGGCGGUAGGCCUAACACAUGCAAGUCGAACGGCAGCACAGUAAGAGCUUGCUCUUACGGGUGGCGAGUGGCGGACGGGUGAGGAAUACAUCGGAAUCUACUUUUUCGUGGGGGAUAACGUAGGGAAACUUACUCUAAUACCGCAUACGACCUACGGGUGAAAGCAGUGGAUCUUCGGACCUUGCGCGAUUGAAUGAGCCGAUGUCGGAUUAGCUAGUUGGCGGGGUAAAGGCCCACCAAGGCGACGAUCCGUAGCUGGUCUGAGAGGAUGAUCAGCCACACUGGAACUGGGACACGGUCCAGACUCCUACGGGAGGCAGCAGUGGGGAAUAUUGGACAAUGGGCGCAAGCCUGAUCCAGCCAUACCGCGUGGGUGAAGAAGGCCUUCGGGUUGUAAAGCCCUUUUGUUGGGAAAGAAAAGCAGCAGGUUAAUACCCCGCUGUUCUGACGGUACCCAAAGAAUAAGCACCGGCUAACUUCGUG